CCCUUAGAUGCUCUGGGCCGCACGCGCGCUACACUGAUGCAUUCAACGAGUCUAAAACCUGGUCUGAGAGGGCUGGGUAAUCUUUUGAAAGUGCAUCGUGAUUGGGAUAGAUGAUUGCAAUUCUUCAUCUUCAACGAGGAAUGCCUAGUAAACGCAAGUCAUCAGCUUGCAUUGAUUACGUCCCUGCCCUUUGUACACACCGCCCGUCGCUCCUACCGAUUGAACGAUCCGAUGAAAACUGUGGAUUGAGAGUCUGAGUGGGUUCGCCUACCUCAACUUUCGAGAAGCGGUUUAAAUCUUAUCGUUUAGAGGAAGGAGAAGUCGUAACA
Molecule: ribosomal RNA, 329 nt
Filed under: uncultured eukaryote
Lineage: Eukaryota
Description: partial 18S ribosomal RNA
Rfam family: Eukaryotic small subunit ribosomal RNA
Source: RNAcentral